GCCCGCUUAGCUCAGUGGUAGAGCGCGCCACUCGUAUGAAUCCGCCAGGUUAGAGGUGGAAUGGUGAGGUCGGUUGUUCAAUCCAGCCAGUGGGCA
Phanerochaete carnosa HHB-10118-sp is the source of this 96-nucleotide non-coding RNA. NCBI's taxonomy places the organism in Eukaryota, Fungi, Basidiomycota, Agaricomycetes, Polyporales, Phanerochaetaceae. The record is from the annotation of a RefSeq genome assembly.